Molecule: ribosomal RNA, 382 nt
Filed under: uncultured bacterium
Lineage: Bacteria
Description: bacterial SSU rRNA
Rfam family: Bacterial small subunit ribosomal RNA
Source: RNAcentral
AUUGAACGCUGGCGGCAUGCCUUACACAUGCAAGUCGAACGGCAGCACGGGAGCAAUCCUGGUGGCGAGUGGCGAACGGGUGAGUAAUAUAUCGGAACGUGCCCAGUCGUGGGGGAUAACGUAGCGAAAGCUACGCUAAUACCGCAUACGAUCUACGGAUGAAAGCGGGGGAUCGCAAGACCUCGCGCGAUUGGAGCGGCCGAUAUCAGAUUAGGUAGUUGGUGAGGUAAAGGCUCACCAAGCCGACGAUCUGUAGCUGGUCUGAGAGGACGACCAGCCACACUGGGACUGAGACACGGCCCAGACUCCUACGGGAGGCAGCAGUGGGGAAUUUUGGACAAUGGGCGCAAGCCUGAUCCAGCAAUGCCGCGUGCAGGAUGAA